UUAGUUGAAGCUUUUAGAAGCAAAAUAUUGUUAAUAUUUAGAAGAAAAUCAUUUCCAAUUAAU
Molecule: transfer RNA, 63 nt
Filed under: Undinula vulgaris
Lineage: Eukaryota; Metazoa; Arthropoda; Copepoda; Calanoida; Calanidae
Description: tRNA-Asn
Source: RNAcentral